GACAGAGGGUGCAAACGUUGUUCGGAAUUACUGGGCGUAAAGCGCAUGUAGGCGGCAGCGCAAGUCGGGCGUGAAAUCCCACGGCUCAACCGUGGAAGUGCACUCGAAACUGCGCAGCUAGAGUCCUGGAGAGGAAGGUGGAAUGCUUGGUGUAGAGGUGAAAUUCGUAGAUAUCAAGCGGAACACCGGUGGCGAAGGCGGCCUUCUGGGACAGUGACUGACGCUGA
RNAcentral lists this ribosomal RNA (227 nucleotides) under uncultured bacterium. Its description in RNAcentral is "partial 16S ribosomal RNA". It matches the Rfam family "Bacterial small subunit ribosomal RNA", at positions 524 to 749 of the family's 1533-position model. The record is from RNAcentral.